Molecule: ribosomal RNA, 529 nt
Filed under: Bifidobacterium breve
Lineage: Bacteria; Bacillati; Actinomycetota; Actinomycetes; Bifidobacteriales; Bifidobacteriaceae
Description: bacterial SSU rRNA
Rfam family: Bacterial small subunit ribosomal RNA
Source: RNAcentral
GGGUGGUAAUGCCGGAUGCUCCAUCACAUCGCAUGGUGUGUUGGGAAAGCCUUUGCGGCAUGGGAUGGGGUCGCGUCCUAUCAGCUUGAUGGCGGGGUAACGGCCCACCAUGGCUUCGACGGGUAGCCGGCCUGAGAGGGCGACCGGCCACAUUGGGACUGAGAUACGGCCCAGACUCCUACGGGAGGCAGCAGUGGGGAAUAUUGCACAAUGGGCGCAAGCCUGAUGCAGCGACGCCGCGUGAGGGAUGGAGGCCUUCGGGUUGUAAACCUCUUUUGUUAGGGAGCAAGGCAUUUUGUGUUGAGUGUACCUUUCGAAUAAGCACCGGCUAACUACGUGCCAGCAGCCGCGGUAAUACGUAGGGUGCAAGCGUUAUCCGGAAUUAUUGGGCGUAAAGGGCUCGUAGGCGGUUCGUCGCGUCCGGUGUGAAAGUCCAUCGCUUAACGGUGGAUCCGCGCCGGGUACGGGCGGGCUUGAGUGCGGUAGGGGAGACUGGAAUUCCCGGUGUAACGGUGGAAUGUGUAGAUAU